Molecule: long non-coding RNA, 1358 nt
Filed under: Equus caballus (horse)
Lineage: Eukaryota; Metazoa; Chordata; Mammalia; Perissodactyla; Equidae
Description: lncRNA (ENSECAG00000050525.1)
Source: RNAcentral
GAGCCACUCCCAGAGCUAAUAUAGGGGGUGGAGGUAUUUUAGUUUUCUUCAGCCACAGUGGAGAGACCUUGUUAACAGCCUGGGGAAUGAGACCCCAAAAGGAUCACCCGUUUUAGUAGGGCUUAACAAGCUCCUGAGUAAGGCUACUCUGGACCUGUCCUAACAGAGCUUCAAAACAAGACUCAAAACAACCAAACUGAUUUACAAGCUAUUAAGCAGCCUUCCAAAAAAUGUCUAAUGCUCUUUAAAGGAAUUCAACAAAAUUCAACACUCAACAACAUAAAAUUUACAGUGACUGGAAUUAAAUUAAAAUUUAUUUUACAUGAGAAGAAGCUGAAAAGUUGACAUAUUACCAGGAGAAAAAUCAUCAAUGAAAACACCCAGCAAUGACAGACAUAAUGGAAUUUGAAGGAAAAGAUUUUAAAAUAGCUAUUAUAAAUGUGAUCAAAUAUUUAAAGGAAAACAUGACUAUGAAGAGGAGAGUACUAGAUGAUAUAAAAGGGAACCAAAUAGAACUUUUAGAGGUGAAAAAUAACAAAUUUGGAAUGAAAAAUUUACUAUUUUGGCAUAACAGGAAAUUAGAUACUGCAGAAAAAAUAUGAGUGAGUGUGAAGACAUAGCAACAGAAACUAUUUAAUCUGAAGCAGAGAGACAGACAGAAGAUUGAAACAAACAGCAAACAAACAAGGAAAUACAGCCUCAGAGAUCUAUGGGACACUAGUAAGCAGUUUAACACAUAUGUUAGUCCCCAAAGGGAGGAGAGAGAGAAGUCAGGAAAAAUACUUGAAUAAUUAAUGGCCAAAAGUGUUGCAAAUUUGAUUAAAAAAUAUAUAUCCAAUGAUCCAUAGAUCUCAACUAUAAGCAGAAGAAAAUCAAAGAAAAUCACAUUAAGCCAUAUCAUACUCAAAUUGUUGAAAGUCGUUGAUAAAGAGAAAAAAUCUAUAAAGGAGACAGUGGAAACAGAUGUACUUCAUAAAGGAGGAAAAGAUAAUUAUCACAGAUUUUUUGUCAGAAUCAAUGCAAACCAGAAGUAAAGAAAGUCAACCUAUAAUUCUAUAAAAUAAAGACUUUUUCAGAUAAACAGAAGCUGAAAGAGAAAUCAUCACCCACAGACAUGAGUGUAAGAAGUUUUAAGAAAGAAGAAAGAUCUACAAUCAAUGAUCUCAGCUUCUGCCUUAAGGAGCUAGACACAAAGAUGGCAAACUGACCACAAAGAAGAUUAGCCCAGAGCUAACAUCUGCCACCAAUCCUCCUCUUUCUGCUGAGGAAGACUGGCCCUGAGCUCACAUCUGUGCCCAUCUUCCUCUACCUUCUUUGUGAGACGCCUGCCGCAGCAUGGCUUGACAAGCGGUGCAUAG